This 214-nucleotide unclassified non-coding RNA is filed under the name Hevea brasiliensis (rubber tree). The record is from RNAcentral. Lineage: Eukaryota; Viridiplantae; Streptophyta; Magnoliopsida; Malpighiales; Euphorbiaceae.
AGUGUACCUGCCUAUGACAAUGCUCUUAAGGAUGCAUUUGAACGUUGUUUGGAUUUAUACUUGUGCCCUCGUGUUCGGAAGAAACGUAUUAAUAUUGAUCCUGAAUCUUUGAAACCUAAGCUGCCAAACCGGAAAGAUCUUAAACCUUAUCCAACUACAUGCUAUCUUGAAUAUAGAGGUCAUAAGGAUGCUGUAAUGUCCAUUUCAACUGAAG